CCAAUGCAACACCAGUCGAUACAUCUAUGGAUGAUGAAAGUCCUCGAGAAAGAACCGGAUCCUUGUAGGUUGCAUUCUCGUUUACGGCCGUUUUUGAUUCAGACUUUUCGCUCAACUUUCUCUCUUCCAUCUUCUUGAUCGACUUCUCUAUUUGUGCAUUAAACUCUUCUUCCGUUAUAGUUAGAGAACUACAAUCCAGUGUUUCGAUGAAGGACAUAGCUCCCAUUAGAGUA
Schizosaccharomyces pombe (fission yeast) is the source of this 233-nucleotide non-coding RNA. The record is from the annotation of a GenBank genome assembly. NCBI's taxonomy places the organism in Eukaryota, Fungi, Ascomycota, Schizosaccharomycetes, Schizosaccharomycetales, Schizosaccharomycetaceae.